CCUACGGGAGGCAGCAGUGAGGAAUAUUGGUCAAUGGACGAGAGUCUGAACCAGCCACGUAGCGUGAAGGAUGACUGCCCUAUGGGUUGUAAACUUCUUUUAUAUGGGACGAAAACAGGGUAUGCAUACCCUCUUGUAUGUACCUUAUUACUAAGGAUCGGCUAACUCCGUGCCAGCAGCCGCGGUAAUACGGAGGUACCGAGCGUUAGCCGGCUGUAUUGGGUUUAAAGGGAGCGUAGGUGGAUUGUUAAGUCAGUUGUGAAAGUUUGCGGCUCAACCGUAAAAUUGCAGUUGAAACUGGCAGUCUUGAGUACAGGAGAGGAGAGCGGAAGUCGUGGUGUAGCGGUGAAAUGCUUAGAUAUCACGAAGAACUCCGAUUGCGAAGGCAGCUCACUGGACUGCAACUGACACUGAUGCUCGAAAGUGUGGGUAUCAAACAGGAUUAGAUACCCCAGUAGUC
This 460-nucleotide ribosomal RNA is filed under the name uncultured bacterium. RNAcentral's name for it is "partial 16S ribosomal RNA". It matches the Rfam family "Bacterial small subunit ribosomal RNA", at positions 338 to 795 of the family's 1533-position model. The record is from RNAcentral.